Molecule: long non-coding RNA, 272 nt
Filed under: Cyanistes caeruleus (blue tit)
Lineage: Eukaryota; Metazoa; Chordata; Aves; Passeriformes; Paridae
Description: lncRNA (ENSCCEG00000013794.1)
Source: RNAcentral
AUUCAGUUUGCUGCAUUUUCUUUUCUGACUUUGGCAUAAAUUUCCUAUGGGUCUUUACAAAAAAACAGAGAAAGUAAUUUCUGAAGAUUGGUCACAUCAAUGUAAUUACCUGAGUGUGUUACAGGACAUAGAUGCAGAAGAAAGUAGGAAUAAUGGAAAUCAAGCUCCCUUCUCAGGAUAAAGCUGACUCUUCACAUCUAUCAAGGCAAGCACAACUGGUUACAAACACAACUUUCACGUUCAAUAGGACUUUCCUCCAGCUUAUUUCCAAU